RNAcentral lists this ribosomal RNA (465 nucleotides) under uncultured bacterium. Its description in RNAcentral is "bacterial SSU rRNA". It matches the Rfam family "Bacterial small subunit ribosomal RNA", at positions 335 to 793 of the family's 1533-position model. The record is from RNAcentral.
AUCCUACGGGAGGCAGCAGUGGGGAAUAUUGCACAAUGGGCGCAAGCCUGAUGCAGCCAUGCCGCGUGUAUUGAAGAAGGCCUUCGGGUUGUAAAGUACUUUCAGCAGUGAGGAAGUGGGUAUGUUAAUAGCAUACUCAUUUGACGUUAGCUGCAGAAGAAGCACCGGCUAACUCCGUGCCAGCAGCCGCGGUAAUACGGAGGGUGCGAGCGUUAAUCGGAAUUACUGGGCGUAAAGCGCAUGCAGGUGGUUUGUUAAGUCAGAUGUGAAAGCCCGGGGCUCAACCUCGGAAUUGCAUUUGAAACUGGCAAACUAGAGUACUGUAGAGGGGGUAGAAUUUCAGGUGUAGCGGUGAAAAUGCGUAGAGAUCUGAAGGAAUACCGGUGGCGAAGGCGGCCCCCUGGACAGAUACUGACACUCAGAUGCGAAAGCGUGGGGAGCAAACAGGAUUAGAUACCCUGGUAG